CCUACGGGAGGCAGCAGUGGGGGAUAUUGCACAAUGGGGGGAACCCUGAUGCAGCGACGCCGCGUGGGUGAAGAAGCGCCUCGGCGCGUAAAGCCCUGUCAGCAGGGAAGAAAAUGACGGUACCUGAAGAAGAAGCCCCGGCUAACUACGUGCCAGCAGCCGCGGUAAUACGUAGGGGGCGAGCGUUGUCCGGAAUUACUGGGUGUAAAGGGAGCGUAGGCGGGGAUGCAAGUUGGAUGUUUAAACUAUCGGCUCAACCGGUAAUUGCAACCAAAACUGCAACUCUUGAGUGAAGUAGAGGCAGGCGGAAUUCCGAGUGUAGCGGUGAAAUGCGUAGAUAUUAGGAGGAACACCAGUGGCGAAGGCGGCCUGCUGGGCUUUAACUGACGCUGAGGCUCGAAAGCGUGGGGAGCAAACAGGAUUAGAUACCCCAGUAGUC
Molecule: ribosomal RNA, 439 nt
Filed under: uncultured bacterium
Lineage: Bacteria
Description: partial 16S ribosomal RNA
Rfam family: Bacterial small subunit ribosomal RNA
Source: RNAcentral